GACGAACGCUGGCGGCGUGCUUAACACAUGCAAGUCGAACGGAAAGGCCCUGCUUGCAGGGUACUCGAGUGGCGAACGGGUGAGUAACACGUGGGUGAUCUGCCCUGCACUUCGGGAUAAGCUUGGGAAACUGGGUCUAAUACCGGAUAGGAGCCAUCUUUAGUGUGGUGGUUGGAAAGUUUUUUCGGUGUAGGAUGAGCUCGCGGCCUAUCAGCUUGUUGGUGGGGUAAUGGCCUACCAAGGCGGCGACGGGUAGCCGGCCUGAGAGGGUGUACGGCCACAUUGGGGCUGAGAGACGGCCCAGACUCCUACGGGAGGCAGCAGUGGGGAAUAUUGCACAAUGGGCGCAAGCCUGAUGCAGCGACGCCGCGUGGGGGAUGAAGGCCUUCGGGUUGUAAACUCCUUUCGCUAGGGACGAAGCUUUUUUGUGACGGUACCUAGAGAAGAAGCACCGGCUAACUACGUG
RNAcentral lists this ribosomal RNA (466 nucleotides) under uncultured bacterium. RNAcentral describes it as "partial 16S ribosomal RNA". It matches the Rfam family "Bacterial small subunit ribosomal RNA", at positions 28 to 507 of the family's 1533-position model. The record is from RNAcentral.